Misgurnus anguillicaudatus (oriental weatherfish) is the source of this 794-nucleotide non-coding RNA. Lineage: Eukaryota; Metazoa; Chordata; Actinopteri; Cypriniformes; Cobitidae. The record is from RefSeq and is a predicted model, not a curated record.
CUAAAAAUGGCUGGGUUAUUUUUUAACCCAAAAUGCUGGGUUGAGUCUGUUGGGUUGUUUUGCUGGGUUAUUUUUUUACAUUUUAAACACUUUUUGGGUAGUUUCAGUUUUCUAGGUGUUGGGUUAAAACUGCUGGGUUAUUAUGUUGGGUUGUUUGAAGAGGCUCACGUGCUUCGCGCCCUUGAUGUUUGAAUGUGCUCAGCAAUGGUCGUCGUGAAAGGACAGAGUCACUGAAGCAGUUGUUUCAAGAGUGUGCAGAGUUUUUAUGUCCAUCCAUUGAUGAGGCUAGCAAGACCUUCAAACAACUUCAGCCAAUUGCAACAAAUGUGGUGGAAUUUCUUCUCUGGACAGAAUCCUCGAAACCCUUUCCUUUCGUCCUGGCCAUGGGAAACAUGCAGCAGACCUCUCAAUCUUUUUUCUCAAUCAGUCUCUCUGAAUACGGAAGUGACUUAAACUGCAAUUCGGCCAAGAUGGCGACGGCACGCACCGCCUACUUUAAGCUUCAAAAAUGCUCUUCACAAACCAAUGGGUGACGUCACAGACACUACUUGCAUAUUUUUUACAGUCUCUGGUUUAAAGGCAUUUUAAGUGCUUAAAAAAAUAAAUACCCCAGGCAAUGUGCUUCUAUGGGAAUUCCUGUAGUCUGUCAUUUUUCAAAUGGAUGAAUCCCCUGCUGUUCGAUUCCUUUGUACAUCUUUGUUCGCGACGAGUAACUUUAAUAAAUGAAGUAUUUUUAGUCAAAUACAUUCCAUUCUGUGAAACUUAAAACAUUUGUUCUUUAAAAAAACUUUACA